CCUACGGGCGGCAGCAGUGAGGAAUAUUGGUCAAUGGACGAGAGUCUGAACCAGCCAAGUAGCGUGAAGGAUGACUGCCCUAUGGGUUGUAAACUUCUUUUAUAUGGGAAUAAAAUGUUCCACGUGUGGGAUUUUGUAUGUACCAUAUGAAUAAGGAUCGGCUAACUCCGUGCCAGCAGCCGCGGUAAUACGGAGGAUCCGAGCGUUAUCCGGAUUUAUUGGGUUUAAGGGGAGCGUAGGUGGAUUGUUAAGUCAGUUGUGAAAGUUUGCGGCUCAACCGUAAAAUUGCAGUUGAAACUGGCAGUCUUGAGUACAGUAGAGGUGGGCGGAAUUCGUGGUGUAGCGGUGAAAUGCUUAGAUAUCACGAAGAACUCCGAUUGCGAAGGCAGUUCACUGGACUGCAACUGUCACUGAGGCUCGAAAGUGUGGGUAUCAAACAGGAUUAGAUACCCCGGUAGUC
This 460-nucleotide ribosomal RNA is filed under the name uncultured bacterium. RNAcentral describes it as "partial 16S ribosomal RNA". It matches the Rfam family "Bacterial small subunit ribosomal RNA", at positions 338 to 795 of the family's 1533-position model. The record is from RNAcentral.